This 3079-nucleotide small RNA is filed under the name Pan troglodytes (chimpanzee). RNAcentral describes it as "retained intron". Lineage: Eukaryota; Metazoa; Chordata; Mammalia; Primates; Hominidae. The record is from RNAcentral.
ACUCCCCCGGCCCCGGCAGACCUGCGACUGGCCCAGUCGCCCGCUGGGGCCCUUUGCCACUCCCUUGGGAAGGAGAGCCGAGACCUCAGUUCCCGACGGCUCUUGCGGGGCACAGAUGGGCAGCAGGAGGCUCCGGAGGUGGCGCCCAGGCUCUGAGCUACCCUAGGACUGCAGACUAGCGGGCAUUGGCCAGAGACAUGGCCCAGCCACUGGCCUUCAUCCUCGAUGUCCCUGAGACCCCAGGGGACCAGGGCCAGGACCUCAGCCCCUAUGAUGAAAGCGAAGUGCACGACUCCUUCCAGCAGCUCAUCCAGGAGCAGAGCCAGUGCACGGCCCAGGAGGGGCUGGAGCUGCAGCAGAGAGAGCGAGAGGUGACAGGAAGUAGCCAGCAGACACUCUGGCGGCCCGAGGGCACCCAGAGCACGGCCACACUGCGCAUCCUGGCCAGCAUGCCCAGCCGCACCAUUGGUGAGUGGGACCCUCAGCCUCGGCCUCGGCCCCGGCUCCGAGUUGACCCCAGUCCCUGGGGCUGGGCUGGGCUUCCCGCCAGGCAUCUCCCUGAGUAGUGGCUGCUCCCGUAGCUCAGAGCCAGGCCCAGGGCGGGCUCCUAGCCCAUCCCAUCUGCUGCCCGGGGGCCCAGCACAGCCCCAUGUGGCCCUCGCUGGGCUCCAAAAAUGACUCCAGAGUCAUCACGGGGUAAAAAUAGGCUUUUGGAAUGCAGUGGUGCCUGAAGUCUUUGUUGAAAGGAUUUUCCUGGGUCCUGGGAAGGGGUGAGGGAUGCAGAGACCUGUGGUGAGCCCAUCCUGAGGGGAGGGAGGCCUGGCCCUGCCCGGCCCGGCCCUGCCCAGCUGCCUCCAUAGGCCGCAGCCGAGGUGCCAUCAUCUCCCAGUACUACAACCGCACGGUGCAGCUUCGGCGCAGGAGCAGCCGGCCCCUGCUCGGGAACUUUGUCCACUCCGCCCGGCCCAGCCUCCGCCUGUACGACCUGGAGCUGGACCCCACGGCCCGGGAGGAGGAGGAGAAGCAGAGCCUCCUGGUGAAGGAGCUCCAGAGCCUGGCAGUGGCACAGCGGGACCACAUGCUUCGAGGGAUGCCCUUAAGCCUGGCUGAGAAACGCAGCCUGCGAGAGAAGAGCAGGACCCCGAGGGGGAAGUGGAGGGGCCAGCCGGGCAGCGGCGGGGUCUGCUCCUGCUGUGGCCGGCUCAGAUAUGCCUGCGUGCUGGCCUUGCACAGCCUGGGCCUGGUGCUGCUCUCCGCCCUGCAGGCCCUGAUGCCGUGGCGCUACGCCCUGAAGCGCAUCGGGGGCCAGUUCGGCUCCAGCGUGCUCUCCUACUUCCUCUUUCUCAAGACCCUGCUGGCUUUCAAUGCCCUCCUGCUGCUGCUGCUGGUGGCCUUCAUCAUGGGCCCUCAGGUCGCCUUCCCACCCGCCCUGCCGGGCCCUGCCCCCGUCUGCACAGGCCUGGAGCUCCUCACAGGCGCGGGUUGCUUCACCCACACCGUCAUGUACUACGGCCACUACAGUAACGCCACGCUGAACCAGCCGUGUGGCAGCCCCCUGGAUGGCAGCCAGUGCACACCCAGGGUGGGUGGCCUGCCCUACAACAUGCCCCUGGCCUACCUCUCCACUGUGGGCGUGAGCUUCUUUAUCACCUGCAUCACCCUGGUGUACAGCAUGGCUCACUCUUUCGGGGAGAGCUACCGGGUGGGCAGCACCUCUGGCAUCCACGCCAUCACCGUCUUCUGCUCCUGGGACUACAAGGUGACGCAGAAGCGGGCCUCCCGCCUCCAGCAGGACAAUAUUCGCACCCGGCUGAAGGAGCUGCUGGCCGAGUGGCAGCUGCGGCACAGCCCCAGGAGCGUGUGCGGGAGGCUGCGGCAGGCGGCUGUGCUGGGGCUUGUGUGGCUGCUGUGUCUGGGGACCGCGCUGGGCUGCGCCGUGGCCGUCCACGUCUUCUCGGAGUUCAUGAUCCAGAGUCCAGAGGCUGUUGGCCAGGAGGCUGCGCUGCUGGUCCUGCCCCUGGUGGUUGGCCUCCUCAACCUGGGGGCCCCCUACCUGUGCCGUGUCCUGGCCGCCCUGGAGCCGCAUGACUCCCCGGUACUGGAGGUGUACGUGGCCAUCUGCAGGAACCUCAUCCUCAAGCUGGCCAUCCUGGGGACACUGUGCUACCACUGGCUGGGCCGCAGGGUGGGCGUCCUGCAGGGCCAGUGCUGGGAGGAUUUUGUGGGCCAGGAGCUGUACCGGUUCCUGGUGAUGGACUUCGUCCUCAUGUUGCUGGACACGCUUUUUGGGGAACUGGUGUGGAGGAUUAUCUCCGAGAAGAAGCUGAAGAGGAGGCGGAAGCCGGAGUUUGACAUUGCCCGGAAUGUCCUGGAGCUGAUUUAUGGGCAGACUCUGACCUGGCUGGGGGUGCUCUUCUCGCCCCUCCUCCCCGCCGUGCAGAUCAUCAAGCUGCUGCUCGUCUUCUAUGUCAAGAAGACCAGCCUUCUGGCCAACUGCCAGGCGCCGCGCCGGCCCUGGCUGGCCUCACACAUGAGCACCGUCUUCCUCACGCUGCUCUGCUUCCCCGCCUUCCUGGGCGCCGCUGUCUUCCUCUGCUACGCCGUCUGGCAGGUGAAGCCCUCGAGCACCUGCGGCCCCUUCCGGACCCUGGACACCAUGUACGAGGCCGGCAGGGUGUGGGUGCGCCACCUGGAGGCGGCAGGCCCCAGGGUCUCCUGGCUGCCCUGGGUGCACCGGUACCUGGGGGAAAACACCUUCUUUGUCUUCCUGGUGUCAGCCCUGCUGCUGGCCGUGAUCUACCUCAACAUCCAGGUGGUGCGGGGCCAGCGCAAGGUCAUCUGCCUGCUCAAGGAGCAGAUCAGCAAUGAGGGUGAGGACAAAAUCUUCUUAAUCAACAAGCUUCACUCCAUCUACGAGAGGAAGGAGAGGGAGGAGAGGAGCAGGGUUGGGACAACCGAGGAGGCUGCGGCACCCCCUGCCCUGCUCACAGAUGAACAGGAUGCCUAGGGGGACGGCGAUGGGCCUCACGGGCCCGCCCAGCACCCUGAGACCACACUGUUGCCUCCCAGUGACCCUGCU